This is a long non-coding RNA of Phyllopteryx taeniolatus (common seadragon), 1038 nucleotides long. RefSeq lists it as uncharacterized. The record is from RefSeq and is a predicted model, not a curated record. NCBI's taxonomy places the organism in Eukaryota, Metazoa, Chordata, Actinopteri, Syngnathiformes, Syngnathidae. The transcript is spliced from 3 exons.
GAUUGUCUUUGUGUGUACGAGGCCUAACAGGGUCUUUUCUUCACCUCAAGUCUCUCUUUAUUUAAACGAUCUUGUCCUGCAGUCCUUUUGUUGGAGCCUGGGUGGUGCUUUGCUCUUCUCUCUCUCUCUCUCUCUCUCUCUCGCUCUCUCUCUCUUCCCUCUCUCUCUUCACAGUAAUCAGCACACCUUGGCCGCGCACCUAUCAUCAAUCAGCCCUCAUCAUCACCUGCAUAAAAGCCUGCCAGAUCCGGCAAACUCUCGCCAGAGUAUUGAAGUGUCUCCUGUGGUACAACGGCUCCCCAGUUACCAAUGUUCCCUCCGUGUUACUCGCCAAGUAGAUUUCUGCCGCCAAGCCAGCCGCCUAUCCUCGUCACCGCCUGUCACACGUUCUCUGCCUGAACAACCUGCCAACACAUCUCAAGGACCAUCUCCAUUCCCCUUUUCCAUGAACUUUUCAUCACAACCUCUCAGCCUCCAUCUGCUCUUGGGUCCAGUCUAAAUCCACUCGUGACAGAUCUUCUCUUUUGCUUAAUGGAGGACACCUAUACCUCACCUUGUUUAUUUACAACUUAAGAAAAACUCAAUUUAGAUGGUGCUGCCCCACCAUCGCAAACGUCAGCCUGUUCUGCCCACACGGUUCAUUGGAACUGCCCCGUUAUUACCCACAGCCCCCCGACAGGCCUGUCGGACUUUCAAUUGUGAAGGGCGAUUUUGAAAAAGACUCCACUGAUACAAGCUCGAUGAACAAAGACAACUUUAUUGGCCAACAAGCAAUAUACAGUGUCCGCCAACAACUGCAGCAGGUGGGAGAGUCCCAUUCAAUAUUGGGGGCUCCGAAAUCUGGAGGGACACCAUGCCGUCUUCUGACACCGUCAUGCGGUCAGCUCCUUCCUGACUCUGAAUAUGGCUGACUGAUUUGUCAUAAUAUUUGAAGCUCCUGAGGUUACGAUCAGUGUUUGAAAGUGUGUGUGACCUGUCGUCCCCCGCACCUUGAAUGAAUCUCCGAAAGUGGAUAUUCUCUAGCUGGAGCUGUCGGCC